RNAcentral lists this ribosomal RNA (253 nucleotides) under uncultured bacterium. RNAcentral's name for it is "partial 16S ribosomal RNA". It matches the Rfam family "Bacterial small subunit ribosomal RNA", at positions 524 to 776 of the family's 1533-position model. The record is from RNAcentral.
GACAGAGGGGGCAAGCGUUGCUCGGAAUUACUGGGCGUAAAGGGUUCGUAGGUGGCCAACUAAGUCAGACGUGAAAUCCCUCAGCUUAACUGGGGAACUGCGUCUGAUACUGGUUGGCUUGAGUGCAGGAGAGGAACGCGGAAUUCCAGGUGUAGCGGUGAAAUGCGUAGAUAUCAGGAGGAAUACCGAUGGCGAAGGCAGGUCUCUGGGCUGACACUGACGCUCAUGCACGAAAGCGUGGGGAGCAAACAGG